Molecule: long non-coding RNA, 1461 nt
Organism: Brassica napus (rape)
Lineage: Eukaryota; Viridiplantae; Streptophyta; Magnoliopsida; Brassicales; Brassicaceae
Exons: 3
Source: RefSeq, a predicted model, not a curated record
GGCACGUUGUCUUAUAUAUCAUUUUGUCGUGUUAUUAAUGAUAAAAAUUGGUUUUCAAAUUAAAGAGCAAAAGAAAUAAAAAUGUUUACAGACCCACAGGCCUUAGUCAUUGACAAUACCUAUUAGUACAAAAGCUCAUAGUUGAGAAACUUCCUAUAGUAGAACCCAAUAAGAAGGCCCAAGAACCCUAAGCCCAUUUGACUGGCCAAGUUGAAGAAUCAAGCGAUGGGGGAGAGUUAAGCGACGAAGAUUACGUUGAUGGAGAAGUGGAGAGAGGAGGAUCAAUCACGCAUGACGAAACCAUGAUUACAACAUAGAGGAGGCAAGGUUUGGAUUGGAUGAUCUGAAACUCUGGAUCCUGUUUCUGAUUUGGCGAUCAAUUAUACGGAAAAGAGAAUCGAUAGACCUGAAAGAGUUAGUGUGCAGCCUAGAAUUGCGCUCAUUCCAUAACCAGUAGAGGUUGGAUUGCCAAGGCAGUAGUGUGAGUAGACGGUGUGAUCUGUGUGAGUUCUUCAUUUGCUGAAGCGUUUGGUUCCAGCUUCUCAUCGGUUGAAUAGAGCACCUUCUCGCCGUUAGUUCCCAUACGUCAAAGCUGUAGGAGCAGUCAAAGAAGAUGUGGUCACGAGAUUCAUUGUCGUUGUUGCAGAGGAGACAGAUAGGUGAGAAUUGGAGACCCCAAGAUUGGAGUCUAUCCCUCGUCGGACAACAAGCCAAGCAUGGAAUUGUUGUCUAGGAAUUCCAUAGGAGCCCACGAGACCUCAUCCAAAUCGCCUCGCAGGUGGUAGUCGCCAUGCUCCACUGUUGCCUUGUCUGGAAUUCCUAGUCUUGACACAGAGACGUUAAGCACUGAUGCCAAGCUUCCAAACGGGGACCAAUUAUCAUACCAGAACCGAGCCGUGAAGCCAUCUUCUAAGCGGAGCUUAAUCAAUGGAAAGACCACUGAUUUGAGCUUUAGGAGUUUGUUGGCUAACCAAGAGUAGGAGGAGCUUGGUUUUGUGGUCUAGUAAUUAUGUAUCGAGCCGUUGAGAACUUUUUUCUUGAACCAUGCAACCCACACUGAGCCAGCUUUGAAGAAUAGCAGCUAAUUUAGUUUGAUGCAACACGCUAAGUUUCAAGUUUGGAGAUCUCUGAUAUCUAAUCCCCCUUGCUGCUUGGUUUUUGGCAGAAUAAAAGUAGAACAUCAAAAAGUGGUGAUCCCUGAAAUGACCCUCUACUUUAUCCACUUUAUCUGAUCAUACAUAUACGGAUCACUAUGGAAAUCACAUGAUAACAGUAAACAGUGAAUGUAUGAUAUUAAUUCUAGACUGAACUUACAUGACUAAAAAAGAAAAAUCGCCCGCACGCAUAUAUGAAUUGUAUGUGAAUUUAUAUAAUGAGACUGAACUAAUGCAUGCAACCAGAUCUAUAUAUGAAUAGUCACAAGAAUAUAUGAAUUUAUGGAGACCACCUUUUCUUGUUCAA